GACGAACGCUGGCGGCGUGCUUAACACAUGCAAGUCGAACGGAAAGGCCCUGCUUUUGUGGGGUGCUCGAGUGGCGAACGGGUGAGUAACACGUGAGUAACCUGCCCUUGACUUUGGGAUAACUUCAGGAAACUGGGGCUAAUACCGGAUAGGAUCUCCUGCUUCAUGGUGGGGGUUGGAAAGUUUCGGCGGUUGGGGAUGGACUCGCGGCUUAUCAGCUUGUUGGUGGGGUAGUGGCUUACCAAGGCUUUGACAGGUAGCCGGCCUGAGAGGGUGACCGGCCACAUUGGGACUGAGAGACGGCCCAGACUCCUACGGGAGGCAGCAGUGGGGAAUAUUGCACAAUGGGCGGAAGCCGGAUGCAGCAACGCCGCGUGCGGGAUGACGGCCUUCGGGUUGUAAACCGCUUUCGCCUGUGACGAAGCGUGAGUGACGGUAAUGGGUAAAGAAGCACCGGCUAACUACGUG
RNAcentral lists this ribosomal RNA (468 nucleotides) under uncultured bacterium. Its description in RNAcentral is "partial 16S ribosomal RNA". It matches the Rfam family "Bacterial small subunit ribosomal RNA", at positions 28 to 507 of the family's 1533-position model. The record is from RNAcentral.